GACGAACGCUGGCGGCGUGCCUAAUACAUGCAAGUUGAGCGCUGAAGGUUGGUACUUGUACCAACUGGAUGAGCAGCGAACGGGUGAGUAACGCGUGGGGAAUCUGCCUUUGAGCGGGGGACAACAUUUGGAAACGAAUGCUAAUACCGCAUAAAAACUUUAAACACAAGUUUUAAGUUUGAAAGAUGCAAUUGCAUCACUCAAAGAUGAUCCCGCGUUGUAUUAGCUAGUUGGUGAGGUAAAGGCUCACCAAGGCGAUGAUACAUAGCCGACCUGAGAGGGUGAUCGGCCACAUUGGGACUGAGACACGGCCCAAACUCCUACGGGAGGCAGCAGUAGGGAAUCUUCGGCAAUGGACGAAAGUCUGACCGGGCAACGCCGCGUGAGUGAAGAAGGUUGUCGGAUCGUAAAACUCUGUUGGUAGAGAAGAACGUUGGUGAGAGUGGAAAGCUCAUCAAGUGACGGUAACUACCCAGAAAGGGACGGCUAACUACGUG
This 497-nucleotide ribosomal RNA is filed under the name uncultured bacterium. RNAcentral describes it as "partial 16S ribosomal RNA". It matches the Rfam family "Bacterial small subunit ribosomal RNA", at positions 28 to 507 of the family's 1533-position model. The record is from RNAcentral.